Long non-coding RNA from Dunckerocampus dactyliophorus (ringed pipefish), 2916 nucleotides. RefSeq lists it as uncharacterized. Lineage: Eukaryota; Metazoa; Chordata; Actinopteri; Syngnathiformes; Syngnathidae. The transcript has 2 exons. The record is from RefSeq and is a predicted model, not a curated record.
UUGAUGAUUGUUUUGUUCAUUAAGAGUGUUUCCUCUUGAAGAUUUCAUUUAUAUUGGUCUUCCAAUUCAUUCCCACAAGCGCAGCGGCGAAAACCUGUCACUGUGUGUGUGGGGAUUCACCCGAAAAUGAGGCUUCAUCGUUGGUUGUAUGUAUUUUUGUGCUUGGGGUACUAUUAAGAAGGGUGUAGUGGUUCUUUUAGAGAUGGGACACCAUGGAAAGAUUCCGGUCAGGUAGUCAUUGAAUCAUCUUUAUUACGCAAGUGGAUAGGCUCUUUUAGCAAUAUAUGUGUAUAUAUACAGUAUGUGUCCAGAGGAGCGUGGGUUUGUCCAAAGGGGUGUGUGUGUGUGUGUGUGUGUGUGUGUGUGUGUGUGUGUGUGUGUGUGUGUUUGUGGUCUUGUUGCGUCACACAACGCACACAAAUGACGGACACUUCAUUUUCAACAAGCAGGAUCGAAGCUAGCAAACUGCUCUCAGUGCUCAGCUAGCUUUUUUUUCUAAGAAUGGUGCAUUCACGUGCAUCACGUAACUCCUCGGGCACAAGUUGCCGCUGCAUUCACGGACACUUGGAAAUCACAGGAAACGCACCCAAACAUGCACAUGCGGCCCAAAUCGCGUGAUAUUUACAAAAACAACCACUUGCUGCUCAUAACAGUAAGGCAAUGUUACAAAAUCUUUUACUUAUAAAUAAUCAACAUUAAACAUUCGGACAGAUGCUGCUUUAUCAUCAUUGGUCAACUUUCCCCUUCAGUUUGGUAUAAAACGAAUAUGCACAAUUAAACAUAGCCAUCGUUAGUGGACAAAACAAGUGACGCUCAAACUGAAGCCAUUCAAAAUACACACUUUUGACCCGGAAUUACUAUAAAAUGAAUGAACCAAUGAAUUAUGUUCAAUAUACAUACAUACAUGACUUUGGGUCAAGUGUCUGAAGGGGGUGUACUACUGUAAAAAGCUUGGGAACCACUGAUGUAGAGGAUCUUUGAGUGGUGUUUUUAAAAAAAAAAAAUUUUUUUAAACAGCAGCGCGCUCCAUCUCAUAGAGCAGUGGUUCCCAAACCUUUUACAGUGGCGUGUGGGGAUGAAUUGGAAGACCAAUAUAAAUGAAAUCUUCAAGAAGAAACACUCAUAAUGCACAAAAUAAUCAUCAAACUUGCUUAUUUGUUCAUAUGAUGCACUCCGAGCAAUGAACAACUUGACGCUCUGUCUCCUUCCUGCUCGGGCCUCCUCUUGCCAUGAGGCGUUCAGGAUCUUUCGUAAUUAUCCGUGCUGAGUAUCCUCCAGUUGCUCUUGAUAAGACUCCGACCUUCAUUCCUGUUCCAGGUUCUUAUUCCUGAUGUACCAGGUAUGAUCCAACUGGUUGCCAGUCAUUUGGCGUGAUGUAACUCAUGAAGUAAGUGCCGGAGCAUGUUGCUCUGGGCAGUGUGAGCCCAACUGGUUCACAACCGAGGACUUGGCAAAGCGGUAGUGUGGUGGGAUCGUGGGAAGAGCACCUGACACCCACAUUUACCAGCCAAGUAAACUGGCACGUGUGCACGUGAACCUUUCUAUGUUCUUCCCCAGGAAGGCGCAGCGCUGCAGGUGGCGUAGAUGGGACCCAGGGCUUCGGCCCGUCCUGAGGGAGGAGACGUCGUCCUCAGGGGAGCUUCAAUCCCAGGGUCUACAUUGGCGCCAUGGGGCGUGCCGGAUGAGUUUAACGCUCGUAUUCAGGUGGGGCCGGAUAUGAACAAUAUUUGCUCUGGUGGGUCAUGGUCAAUAAAAAGAUAGCUUGGAUCAAUGACAUUACAUACAUUCUGUCCUGAUGGCCUGGCUGAGUAGAAUGUAGCGUAUAUAUGCAGUGUAGUCUGUACUCACUGCAUCAGAACCCUCAGUGAAAGGAUCACAGAUAGGAACACAAUUAAUAUGGCAUCUCUGUAUACUUAGCUAUUCAGUAAUCAUUUUAGAUCAUCUACCGUUACUCACUCAGUGUUUGGGUCAAUACUAUUUACAGUAUUCACACUACGUUUUACUUAGGUACAGAUAUUAAAGUUGCAGUUUGAUGUACUCUGGUCAAUUUAGAAUAAAUCAUUUUUAAAGGCAAUCAGGCUAGUAUUAGGUACACUAUUAGCUGUAGGAAAAGAUCGUUCCAGCAGAGAUGGCGCCUUCCCAGGCCUCAUCCGAGGAGCGAGACCACUGCGGCUGAAACGGCAUUCGAGGAAAGGAGCCAGUGUGAGCAGAAAAUGACGUCCAUCCGGGAGGCUGGCGACGUCCAUCCAGGAGGCUCCUACAUGUCUGUGAACGAGGCCCCACAUCACAAGGGGUCCCUCCAGAUGACAUCGUGCUGAUCAUCAGUGAGUGAUUGGAAAAAGGGACUGAAAAUGGCCAACACCGUUCUUACAUAAUAAUCCUCUGGGCGGUGAUAAUGUGAGCAGAAACAUUGCUCUCGACCCCCUCUACCUUGCCCCACACCGAGUCACUGCCCAUAACACUCUCCCCUCUCCCCCAUGCCCAUUGUUCAGGACAAGCAUGCAUCAAGAUCCCCACGAACUUGAUUCGAAAAAAUGGACAAGUCAAAAUGGUGCCGGGACAUUUCGAUUUGAAUGAGGGGUCAAGGCUGGUCAAAGAGACAUUUUGUUUGUUUUGGGGGUUUAGGACCCCCCCAAAAGGAGGGAUUAUAUUGUAAAAUGAUUCUUUUCCUGUGAACUCCAGAUUACUUUUUGUUUUGUGAACGCCAAUUGAACUCAUGAGGCCUACGUGACUUAGGGGGGGUCAACGGGACCUGACUUACACAAGAUGUUUUCCAGAUGUUACGUGAUUCCAAAAUGUCCUGCCAAAGGUUCCAAAUAAGGACGGUGUUCUGGUAAUCCACGUCAUUGUUAUUGUUCACUUGGUCUAUUUAAGGGCAAACGAAAUAAACGAGGUAGCCCUUCUGCCUCAACUGCA